This 126-nucleotide non-coding RNA is filed under the name Vibrio marisflavi. RNAcentral describes it as "TPP". It matches the Rfam family "TPP riboswitch aptamer (THI element)". Rfam says of the family: Vitamin B(1) in its active form thiamin pyrophosphate (TPP) is an essential coenzyme that is synthesised by coupling of pyrimidine and thiazole moieties in bacteria. Lineage: Bacteria; Pseudomonadati; Pseudomonadota; Gammaproteobacteria; Vibrionales; Vibrionaceae. The record is from RNAcentral.
AACAACUCAUCGGGGAGCUAGUUACACGAUGGCUGAGAUCGAGCACAGCUCGGAACCCGCAAUUGAUCAAUCGAUCAGGAACCUGAACCGGAUAAUGCUGGCGUAGGGAUUGAGUUAGGAUUCUCU